CAGGAUUUGGCAAUAGAUUGAACAUGAGGCUUGAAGGAGAGGUCGGAGUCAAAGAGAACACCUAGGCAGCGAGCCUGCGUGGUGGAGCUGAUGGUAGCACCGUUGACUUGGAGGGAGACAGACACAGGAGUAACAACACUUGAGGGAGGAAAGACCAAAAUUUCAGUUUUGGUCAAGUUUAGUUUAAGGAAGUGGGCAGCCAUCCAGUUAGAAACAGCAGAGAGGCAGUCAGAGACACUAGUCAAGAGGGACGGGGAGAGAUCAGGAGAGGACAGGUAGAUUUGCGUGUCAUCUGCAUAGAAAUGAUAUUGGAAGCCAAAGGAGCUAA
This is a non-coding RNA of Pelobates cultripes (western spadefoot toad), 328 nucleotides long. The record is from the annotation of a GenBank genome assembly. NCBI's taxonomy places the organism in Eukaryota, Metazoa, Chordata, Amphibia, Anura, Pelobatidae.